This 1251-nucleotide ribosomal RNA is filed under the name Umbilicaria aprina. Its description in RNAcentral is "partial large subunit ribosomal RNA". The stretch from base 1 to 610 matches the Rfam family "Bacterial large subunit ribosomal RNA", at positions 893 to 1301 of the family's 2925-position model. Lineage: Eukaryota; Fungi; Ascomycota; Lecanoromycetes; Umbilicariales; Umbilicariaceae. The record is from RNAcentral.
UCAUAGCAGGUACAGAAUUGAGUUCUUGUACAACUUGCACUCAGGUUUUUCUUCUUCUUUUUUUCUUUUUUUAUUUUUCGUUUUUUCUCUUAUCCUUUAGGAUAAAGAAAAAAAUAAAACGAAAACGAAAACGAGAGAAAACGGGAAAAAUAAAAAAGUGCUUUUUGUUUACAUUUGGGGGUCGUGAAGAUCUUACUCGCAAGUAAUUGUGCUCGGAAGGGUUAUGAUGACUAUAUAAUAAUCAGACAUAGUAUGCUAAGGUAGUAUGUCUAAAGGGAAACAGCCCAGAACAAGAGUUAAUAAGGUUCCAAAAUUAUUGUUAAGUGAAAAUAAGGAAGUUUCAAUCAAAAAUGCCCAGGAAAUAGACUUAGAUGCGGCCAUUUUUUAAAGACCUCGUAACAGAGCACUGGUUCAGUAAAUUAUUUAGAUAAUUUAUAUUGAUAAAAGCACCGAAAAUUUAACGGAUCUAAACAAUAUACCGAGACCUUGUCCAUAUUUAUAUAUAUAUCUAAGUUGUAUAUUGUAUUUAUGGGGUAGCGGAACAUUGGGCAAAUCUCAGAUUUUUUCUUUUUAAGACUUAAUAUAAGAUAACCCAAGUGAUAAUGCUGACAUGAGUAACGAUAAAGGGAAUUAUUCCCUCGCCUAAAACUUAUGGUAUUUACUUAAAGUAACGGCCUCUAAGUUUAUGAACCUAAAGGACUAAACGAUGAGAAAACCUACCACUUUUUUUCUUUUUUCUUAUUUCCAUAUUUUUUUCUCUGUGUCCCAUUCGCGUCUUUACGCGGGGCCAUACAAAGCAGACAAGUGGAGUCCAUAUUCCGGGGGGCGUGGGAUAUAUUAGGAACUUGGGAGAGGAUCUCUUCCUUCCUAGAUAAGGGGCGCUUAAAUGGUAAAGGGGGAGUGUUAAAACUCUAACCCGUAACACUAAGGGUAUCGUUAUCUAUAAUAUAGAAGGAUCUUUAACCCUAUUCUUUAUCUUGAUCCAAAUCGUAAGUCUUUGUGAGACUUUGGCUUCGUAGUAGAGUGGGCUAGUGUCGAAAUAAGAAAAACUAAAUAAAAAAACAACCUAUGGUUCUAGACUUAUAUAACAAUGGGUUUAGUUAUAGUGCUAGUGCUGAAGUGAACAGGGUUCUGGAAAAUUAAAGUGGUGCAUCAUGGAUAAUGGGGAGGACGCUAUCUCCCGCCUACUAUGGUGUAAAAACACCGUACCUAGAAACUACCCCCAGUAAGUUAGUAGGAAUCGAAGCCUUG